GCGUUCGCGUCGAGUCGCAACCGGCUCCGUCAGAUCGGUUGUUAUUGUUACCUGUUACGUGUUCCUCGCGACCACGCGAGUUCAGGAUCGAGGCCAACGCGAGUAGCAGCCGUCGUGAUAUGUGUGCGUGUGCUUUCGCGAGUGUUUUCCGCUCCGUGAUGCGCGGAUCGUCGCGGGGUGUACACCAAGAUGCUUGGCGAACGUUCGUCGGACCGAAGUUCGACGCUCCAAUGCGAUCCGACAUCAAGAGAGCGAGAUCUGUGUGUCGAACGUGCUCGUCCGCACGAUCACGCAUUAGCGACAACAUCGCGGGUACGCCGACCGUUCUUGAAGAAGGCUCCAGCAUUCGAUGCUCCGAGCGGUAACAAUGGGAUAAUUAUUUCGUGGUUUACUAGUUUAGUGGUGCCAUCUCAAGUUUCGUGUUGCCAACUUUCCGAUCACUCGCAUUGCCUAAUUUAUGAUUGUCGCAAGUGGAGGCGUGACGUCAUUCCUCCAAUCAGAGAGACGCUUGUAUAAAGGUUUCGCACUUGAACGCGUAUGUACGUAACGGCCGCCUGUACUCGCAUCGCGUCGUGACCCAUCCCUCUCCGGCACGCUGUUAUCUCGUUACGUGUUGCGCGUUCUUCCUCGGUACCACGCGAAUUCGAGAUCAAGGUCAACAGCCAUCGUGAGAUGUGUACCUUCGCGAGUGUGCUCCGCUUCGAAUUCUAAGCUCCGAAACGCGUGGAUCGUCGCACGGUGCGUACCAAGGUGCUUCGCGAAUGUUCGUCGGAACGUGUCGGUCGUUCGAGAGCGUCGAACGAGAUCUGCGGGCCGUAUAUAUAUAUAUGUUGAUCGUCCGGACGAUUACGCAUUAGCGACAACAUCGCGAAUCCUGAAGAAGGAUGGCGUACCGGCGUGGAACACAACACGGAGUGUCGCGUUGCCGGCGCCGUGAUUGUCUCACGAUACGCGUCAUUUCGUCGUGUUAGUGCCGCGAAGCGAGAUCGCGGCGUCCUCCUCGCAUCCUCUCGUCGGUCAAGAGCGGGAAAACAUCGUCGGAAACGUUAAUUGAUGUGCCUAUCGUUCACGUCUCGCAACCCUCGCGCCUGUGUGCCUCGUGAAGUUGGCGCCAAAUCCGCCUAAGGUGCUUGUUGAAUUUUUCGUCGCGCCGUGCAAAAGGAUAGGUAACCUCGACACAGUUCGCGUUAUUAAAUAAUAAAUAUACGGAAAUGGCAAAACAUCGCGCGAGUGUGUACGUGUGUGUAAUAACAGUGCGACGGUAAUUAAUCGUUUCCAUCGGAAUCAGUUAAAUGUCACAUUAAAUGAAAUAAUUCGUUUAAGUUAAGUAGUUAUAUCCGUGGUCGUCGUCUAUUUUUAUUUAUUGUUCGCGUACAUACGCAUCUCUCGAUCGUGUCGCGCGCGAGUGUGUUUAUGUGUGUGUGAUUGUAUGAAGCGGCUGCCGCGACGAUGCAACGACCAGCGAAACAUCAUCGAUUCAUCGGCCGGGUGACGUCGAUUCGAGCGUUGCAGCCGCUUUCUGCAGUGUCGGUAUCAUCAGCGCCAGACUUUGGUAAGUGAACCUCCAAGAAUAUACGCUUCUUCCGUGAUCGCUGAGGGACGGGGUAAGUGUCUAAUAAUGAAUGGCCGACAAUAGUGAUAAUGUUUUGCAGUUUCUAUCGAUUUCUGACGAAAUCCCAUAGGAAACCACUUUAGCUUUGCGUGAAUUUUUUUCUACCCGAAUACUAUUUCUCGUAAUGCUACUCAUGCCGCUUGGCAAACACGCACUUGUAGAACUCACGGAGUUAAACUUAGCCGCCGAAAGACGCCGAAUAUCGUAAAGUUAUAAACCGUAAUAAAUCGUUCCUAAUGUAGGUUAACGCCAGGGCGAAAGAAUUGUCUAUCGAAUUUACGACGAGCUUGUUGCCAAAACCGCCGUCGUAAAGAAAGAAGGAUCCACCCUUCGCCGAGAGAAGGUCGAUAUCCGCGACGAUAAUGGACCCAUACCAUCGUGGUAUGGGUGGACGGAUGCAACUGAGGUGGUUAAUUUAGAAAAGAGGAUUGCACCCUGGACGUAAUGUUUGUAAUCCUUAACGAAGGAUGCUUCAGUGAACUUGAAUUGCAGAAGCGCGUUUUUACGAGAAAAAGAAGAAUGAUAGGGACAAGUAUAAAAUAAUCAUUAGUCGCUUCAUUGAAUUAUUUUUUUUAUUACUUUAUCGGCGUAUUUAUCGUUGCUACUCAUUUUAUAUUAUAUUGUAAUCAAUAUUAAUUAUUUUGGACAAAUACUAUUAAAAUCGGUGACUAUUAUUACAAACAAUUAUUAAAAUUGACGAUAAUGAUUAUCAUAAGUGGUUAAUAAUAUUACUAACUGAUACAUCUAUGUAAUAAUUAAACGAUUAUAAAGUUUGUAUCACGUACGCAGUAUAUGUAAUUAUUAUCUGACGGCUAUGCUAACGUGAUUACAUAACUUUUUUUUACUUGUAUAACUUUGAUACAGUGUAA
Molecule: long non-coding RNA, 2481 nt
Organism: Solenopsis invicta (red fire ant)
Lineage: Eukaryota; Metazoa; Arthropoda; Insecta; Hymenoptera; Formicidae
Exons: 3
Source: RefSeq, a predicted model, not a curated record